UGGGAGAUUUACAAAUAAUAAAGUUUCUAUUUAGUAGAUCAGUGAUUGUGUAUCACUUUGAAAACUAUAUAUUUUCGAACGGGAUGUCAGUAUCGCCG
Long non-coding RNA from Octopus sinensis (East Asian common octopus), 98 nucleotides. RefSeq lists it as uncharacterized. The record is from RefSeq and is a predicted model, not a curated record. NCBI's taxonomy places the organism in Eukaryota, Metazoa, Mollusca, Cephalopoda, Octopoda, Octopodidae. The transcript has 3 exons.